Long non-coding RNA from Mesoplodon densirostris (Blainville's beaked whale), 2078 nucleotides. RefSeq lists it as uncharacterized. The record is from RefSeq and is a predicted model, not a curated record. The transcript is spliced from 6 exons. Lineage: Eukaryota; Metazoa; Chordata; Mammalia; Artiodactyla; Ziphiidae.
AAAUGCUCCUCUUUCUGUCCCCACUGCUACUGGCUGACUUCAGGCCUCAUGACCUAGGCCCGGUGCUGUCACCUGAGUCUCCCCACCGGCCGGGACGCCUCCUGUCUCUCCUCCCCCAGUGGGUGCCCCACAGGCCAUCGGUUCCGUGUCACACCGCACAUCUGUCCUCGUCAACCCCGGACUGAAAACCCUGCCAAGCACUCUCCUGGUUAAGCCCCAACACCUCCUUGGUGCCCUGGGAGGGCCUUCGAGUGGCCCCAGCUCUCCGUCCUUGUCGCCCAACAUCCUGGGUGCCUGUGCUGUCCCUGCACGCUGCGCGCACGCGCUCUGCGGGUCUCUACCCUUCGGCACGCGCGGUUCCCGCUCCUGGACCCCUGGUUCCUCUUGUCCUGGCAAGCUCCUGUCCUCCUCCCAGGCACAAGUGUAACGUCCCCUUCUCCACCUGCCGCGAGCGUCAGGAGCUCCCGUCCGGGGUUCUGGCAGCGCCCUGUGCCUUCCUGCUGCCUUCCUUCGCUGGGCUCUUCUUCCUGCGCUGGAGCUGCUCUCCAGGAGUCCUGGGAAGACAAGGACAGGCUCUUACUCGUUCCUGGAAGCCCGGCGCCUGACACAGCUGCUGCUGAGGGGACGUUGGCUCGACAGCGCACUGCUUUCUCUUGCAGCGAGCUGGCCUCCUGUCUCCUUGCAGAAGCCCGAGGAAACAGGACUGCCGGCCCCGAGGAGUUUGCCGAGAGAAGGGAACUAAAUCUAAAAGAGUGAGUCCAUCUGUCCUGAUUCUCCAACUGCCUUGCCUUCUUGUUUUGGGGAUUCAGAAUCUGGACGUCAUGGCCCAGUCACUGAAUCGGGAAUUUCUAAGUCCCUUGGAGUCCAAAAGAAAGACCAUUCCAGAUGUCAGAUCAGCUGCAUGAGUCCCUGUCACUCUCCUGAAUAAGCUUCCAGGCAUUACCUACAUGUUGUGUUCCUGUGGAGGGAUGGCAGUAAUCUCUGCUAAGAUAAACCGGAGCUUCUGUGGAUAAAGCGUAAAUGCAGUGAAGUGUGUGGCCGUAAGAUUUAAUGCCUCUACAGAUUCACAAGAGGAUCUUAUUCACAUCUUUAUUGUGAGAAUUUGGUGGAUUUCCUGAAAUUUGGGGGGUGCCCCUGUGCCUUCAGUCCUCAGAAGUUUCUCACUCUUACAGUAGUCCACAUUCUUCCUCCAGCAAUUUGUCAAAAUAACCAGUUUUGGUGUUCCUACCAGUUUAUGAUUCCAGAGCCUUCUUUUCCAGUGGUAUUUACAAGAAUAUACACAUGUACCAUUGAAGGAAACUGGGUAAAGGGUACACAGAACUUCUCUGUAUCACCUUUUCAACUUCAUGUGAAUCUACAACUAUAUCAACAUAAUAGUUUUUUAAAAUAGUAGCUUUACAGUGGAGAAAACUGGAAGAAAUCUCCUUAACCAAGUCAUCAAGGCUGACAUCACCAGUAUGUCAUAUUGAUACCAUGUACUUCCUGAUACUAUGUGAUGAGAAAGGCACUUCACUUCUGUGCUAUCCUUUCCCAAGAUACAUAAUCCCAAUUUAAUCAUGAGAAAACAUCAGACAAACCUGAACUGGGGGACAUUCUACAAAGUACGUGACAAUCUUUAAAAUUGUCAAGGUUGUGAAACACAAGAAAACAUUGAGAAAUUGCCAUAAAUUGGAGACAACUAGGAAGUUAGGAUGACUAAAUGCAGCAUAAUAUUCUGGAUUCAAUCCUGGAACAGAAAAAGGACAUUAGUGGAAAGAUUUGUGAGGCACAUCAUACAAAAUAACUGCUCAGUGCUCUUCAAGAUCAUGAAAGAUGUGGAAGGACUGAUAAACUGUCAUACAUUGGAGGAAACUAGAGAUAUGACAAGUAAAUGCAACAUGGUAUCCUGAAUUUGAUCCUGGAACAGAAAGUGGACAUUACUGGAGAAACUAGUGAAAUCCAAAUAAAAUCUAUAGUUUAGUUAAUAGUAUUGUACGUAGGUUAAUUUCUUAGUUUUGAUAACUGCACUAUGGUUAUGUAAAAUUUUGACCUGAGAAAUGCUAAAUGAAAUGUGUGUGGCAGCUGUCUGUGCUGUUUUU